This 497-nucleotide ribosomal RNA is filed under the name uncultured bacterium. RNAcentral describes it as "partial 16S ribosomal RNA". It matches the Rfam family "Bacterial small subunit ribosomal RNA", at positions 28 to 507 of the family's 1533-position model. The record is from RNAcentral.
GACGAACGCUGGCGGCGUGCCUAAUACAUGCAAGUAGAACGCUGAAGAGAGGAGCUUGCUCUCCUUGGAUGAGUUGCGAACGGGUGAGUAACGCGUAGGUAACCUGCCUUGUAGCGGGGGAUAACUAUUGGAAACGAUAGCUAAUACCGCAUAACAAUGGAUGACACAUGUCAUUUAUUUGAAAGGGGCAAUUGCUCCACUACAAGAUGGACCUGCGUUGUAUUAGCUAGUAGGUGAGGUAAUGGCUCACCUAGGCGACGAUACAUAGCCGACCUGAGAGGGUGAUCGGCCACACUGGGACUGAGACACGGCCCAGACUCCUACGGGAGGCAGCAGUAGGGAAUCAUCGGCAAUGGGGGCAACCCUGACCGAGCAACGCCGCGUGAGUGAAGAAGGUUUUCGGAUCGGAAAGCUCUGUUGUAAGUCAAGAACGGGUGUGAGAGUGGAAAGUUCACACUGUGACGGUAGCUUACCAGAAAGGGACGGCUAACUACGUG